GGGAUCGUGGGGUAGCUUGGUAACCUUCGGCCCUUGGGUGGCCGUGCCCCUAGUUCAAAUCUGGGCGAUCCCA
This 73-nucleotide transfer RNA is filed under the name Halobacteriales archaeon QS_6_64_34. Its description in RNAcentral is "tRNA-Pro". Lineage: Archaea; Methanobacteriati; Methanobacteriota; Halobacteria; Halobacteriales. The record is from RNAcentral.